AUCAAGUUAUGAAGGUCCCUGAGGAUGCAAUGCACACAGGUGCCCCCUUUACAAAACUGGAGUGGGUGGGGCGGGGAGGAGGAGCUCUGUCCUCCCAACCAACCUCUCCCUGCUGCGUCUUCCUGCCAGUAGAACUUUCCUUCCAAGAGCCCACGACCGUCCUGGAGCCCCCCGGCCUUCCUUGGGUGUUAUCAUUCUAAUGGGCUGAGAAACCAGUGAGCUGAGGCUCUUAGUGUCCUGGGUAGCGGGUCCCAUGAAGACUGAGGACUUGCCUGUGAAUUUCUCUACAUGCUUUUCAACACCUUCCAUCCACAGAGAAGCCAACCUACUCAAAUCAGAACUUGUCCUCAUUGAGGUCUGAGGAAGAGCUACACUGGUUGAUUAUUGCACGAAUGAAAGGCACUCUGACCUUGUCGACCGAACGCCUUGCAGCUUUCAAUGUUGCCCAUUAUACCGCAAGCAGGCAACUCCUGGAGAGCUGCUCCCUGGGCAACCUGCCAGAAAAGGCUCCGGCGGCAGCAGUUCAGACGCGGCCAAACAGCUCAGGCAGCAAAGGAAACAGCUUCCCCAGAGGAAUCCUGCCCAGCAGCCUGAAAGCAGGACCAGCGCCAUUCUUCAGCUUCAACCUCAUGUGCCUGCCUGGAGGUGUCUUUAAAAGGAUGGAGAAAGGCUUCUGGAAAAGGUAUUUCAUUUUCUAGAGGCUGAAAAAAAAGUGGGUCAGAGGUUUUUUCCAAAUUUAGGGCAAACCUAGUUCUUGGUUAAGUACUUUAAGAGACAUUGCUCUAUUUAUUUAUUUAUUUCAUUUUUU
RNAcentral lists this long non-coding RNA (808 nucleotides) under Sus scrofa (pig). RNAcentral describes it as "lncRNA (ENSSSCG00055019500.1)". The record is from RNAcentral. Lineage: Eukaryota; Metazoa; Chordata; Mammalia; Artiodactyla; Suidae.